Rattus norvegicus (Norway rat) is the source of this 11241-nucleotide non-coding RNA. NCBI's taxonomy places the organism in Eukaryota, Metazoa, Chordata, Mammalia, Rodentia, Muridae. The record is from RefSeq and is a predicted model, not a curated record.
GUGAAAGGACACGCAUGCAUUGCUAUGCCCUGCAGCACUUUGCUGAUCUCAGGUCUUCACUGGUUGUCACUUCGUAGAGAGAAGUGCACCAAAGAAUUUCUUAUGGUGUCCCUGCUGAUUUUCACUACCUCUGCUGACUUGUGACCAUUCAACAGAACAUGUUUUUUUCUGGAUCAAGCCACUGCUACUGAUGUAUGUUUAGUGUUUGCUGUAGGACCAGAGUGCUGCUAUCAUGAUAACAAAGAGUGGGACUAUCCCAAAGAACUACUACUAAACAGAUCCACAACUCCCUUUUCCUAUAACCUUUUCUCCCACCUCUGGUCAGUGGGCUAGAAGAGAGGGUGAAGUGUUCUAGAAACCUAAAUAAAGUAGGUUUAGAAAAAUCCAAGCCUUCAAGAAAGAAAGAAGGGGAAGAGGUGGCUCACACCUUUUAUUCCAAUGCUCAGGAGGCAGAGGCAGGUGGGUCUCUUUAAGCCGAGCCUGGUUUACAGAGGAGUUCCAUCUUGAGAAACAACAAAACAAAACAAAACAAAACAAAACAAAACAAAAAGUGGGCAUUUGAGGAGCAACCAGGUCUUAGAGAGAGCCAGGGUCUUAAUCUCUACCAAGGGGUUGUCAGCCUGCACCUAGGGUGUAUCAUGUACACUCAGCAUGCCACUCACACGCCUCCUUAUGUAACUUUAACUAUACCAGUUACUUUCAAUGUAAUUGAGGCAAUACGCCUGACAGAAGCAGUUUAGAGGGAGGAUCUAUUUCGACUGACAGUUUUAGGAAUUUCAUACCAUGGAACCAGGGAAGCCAUGGUAGAAUGGCUUAGUCCAAGACAGUGGUCCACAUCAUGUCUGUGUUUGCAGUGAAACUAGUAUGAAAGGAAUGUAUCCACUGUCAGCUAUAUAAGAGAAUGGCAUGUGGGAUAUAAGCAUGUGGGAAUGCCUCUGUCCAUAAGACACAAGACAGCUUACAUUGUAGCUCCUAGGAAGUACAGAGCACCAACAAAAACCAGGGACUGAUAAAGCUUUCGAAGGGCCACAUGACCUAUUUGACUUGCUAGACCACACUCUACCCCUAACCUCAAUGUUCUACUUGGUUCCCGCAGCUUUCCUCAGCAGCAUGAUCCUGACGUCUCCAGCUCUCGGAAUCUGUGUAGACUUCACCUCCACAGAUGCACGUGUAGUCCUCAGAUCCCGACAGUGAAGCUGACCCUAGUAAACAUUACCUGUCCUCAUAGACUUUCGGUGGUGUCUUGGUAUAGCCUUUGCUUUUUUUGUCGCUUAAGCCCAGGAAUACACUCUACCAGGAGACUCUCCCAGGGGACACCACCACUACCUCCUGCAGCAGCAGCAUCUUUUUAAAGCACAUACCUUUCAAAGGAAAGUGGGAUGGGUUUGCAUUCUUGUACCUUGCAGCUUCCAAUGAGAAGGGCCUUUCCCCGCAGCACAUCCCUCCUGUUCUGGAGCAUUCUUGAACGAUUACAGCUGAUCAAUCUACACUUAUGUGCUCAACUUCUUCAAACACACUCCUGUUCCCCAAACUUACCAUUUUUCAACUCCGCGGUUUGCUCCUGAUUUUCGGAAUAAACCUAGGUUAAAGCAGCAAGCAGACUGCAAUCUGAAGGCUUUGCUGUCUUGAAAGGUCAUCUCCCCAACAAGCUCCCCGCCACUUCUGGAUUUGCCCUCAUUCAAAUACUAGAACAUGAGCAGAUUCUCAGGCAGAAUGAGGCAUGAACAGCCUCCAGUCCAGUAGGCAGGGAUGCACUACUUCACUCACAUCAGAGACCUCAUGAAGUCAGUCUGUACUAUCUUCAGAUCUAAUGGUAUUCUGAGCUUCCACAGUUCCAAUAAAAUCAAGUUAAGAGACCCUUAGCAUUCUAGGGCUCCUAAAUUCACACCUACAAAUUUUUUCACGUUUUUCCAACACACUAAUUUCAAUUUUUUUAUUAGUCACUUUUCUCAUUGCUGUAAUGUGUACCUGACAGAAAACUUAAGGGAAGAAGGAUUUAUUUUUGACUCAUGGGCUCAGAAAGUUCUAUUCAGCACAGCAGGCACAUCAGCGGGCCUCAGUCGGUGGCAGUGGCAAUUUGUAGAAGAUAGUUCCUAUGGGCAGCAGCCCAGGAAUCUGAGAGUGUCAGGCAGAACUAGAUGGACAAAACCUUUAAAGAAUGACUCUAAGUGAUCUAUUUUCUACAGCAAGGUCCUACCUCCUAGGUCUCAAGAUCUUCAAAAUAGCACCACAACUGGGAGAUCACAUAUUCAAACCACAAACCUGUAAGAAACCUCUCAGAUUCACACCAAGCCAGCAUUCCUCCUUGUCCUGCUUUUCCUGUGGAAAUCACAGACACAGCUAGUCUACACUUUCUUCUGAGCCUUCUUGGGUCACCUUGCCAGCAGCUGAUAACAGCCUCUGUGGCCUUGCAAGGCAUGUAGUGACUCCUCUCUAGGACCUAGGAGUAUAAUAAACUUAUUUCUCCUAAGGCUAUUUCUCCUUCCUUCCUUCCUGUGGCCACAUCCUUUACCAGAUCUAACAUAUAAAUUCCCAGAGCAACAACUAUUCUAAUUCAUUACUAAAUAAGCACCUGCUCCCAUGCUUAAUGAGCCAUUCCUUGCAGUGUUUAGAGGGGUUCGGUGGAAUUAUGGAGUAUCCUAUCAUUAAAUGAGGAAAUUAGCAAGAAGAAUGAGGUUGAAGGUCGAGGCAGUAUGGCUGGUGGGUGUGGAAUUGGGUCUGGGGGCUGCUGGUUAGUGAAAAAUCUCUUUUUAAAAAGGAGACGGGGUGGUGGUCUGUGGUGAGUCUGGACAUAGGUUGUCUGAAUGUGAGACCCUGCUCUCCCCUUCAAGCUGUUUCUCUCAAAGCAGAAGAAACUGGUUUGAGGAUCCCAUCUAAGUACUAAUAAAAAGCAAGAGCAUAGGCAUUAAGUAUAAUACCCUGCAGAGUGUUCAGUGUAACAACUUGUAAGCAGCCACUCUCCUACUCCUUACAGAUGAAAAUUAGCUAAGGGUAGCCCCUACACUAGAGGGAGCAUAAACAGUAAUUGUAGCAGUCUGGAAAAUGCUCAGCCUUGUACCUUUGUGAUCACAUGAUGUGAUCUCUGCAUUGGUGAUGACAAAAGCCAACAUUUCUCCGCACAGCACACAGCUCUGUGUGUGGAUCUCAGCCAGCAAUAUCCAGGAGUAAGAGUGACCAAGGGAGUGCAAAGACUCUCUGUCCAGGGCCCUGACAUAACCUUAGAUCCAGGAAUUCCCAUUUAAGGUCUAGAAGCACUGAGUGCUUCUGGUCCAUCCUAGACUCUAUGGAAAGUUGCCCUUCCUAGUCAAACUGCUAUAGCUGAACCACCAUUCUGCACCCUCCACAUUGGAUUUGAUUCCAUAGAUUGCUUGCCCUAAAAGGUUGAAAUUACAGUGUUCAUAUUGCGAUAAAAGUCCUUGCCUUAGCACUCCUGUUAUUUGUUAAAAUGCGUAAUAGCCGUCUCUAAGAACCUGGCAUUAGAGAUGGAGGGGGCGCACUGGGCCCUGUGCCAGCAGUAAUUGAUGCAUCUCUGAGUUAGCAGAGGCAGCUGUGUGUCUUGAGUAUAGGGUCCUAGAAAUGGGGCUGGAUGGAAGGGUCAUGAAUUUGCAUAUUGUGGUAAAUCACCUAUCCAAAGAAUACAAAGAGGACCCUGUCAGACCUCAGUAUCAGUGGGACAUCACACAGGAAGCCCAUUUGCAGGUAUUUGACCAGAAUCAGGAAAGUUUUUCACAAGAGUGGCCUAUCUCUUGUCUCCCUCAGCAUGGGUCUACCUGGUUUUCUGUGUUCAUGUCGCAAUAUGAACACUCUUUGGAAAGUAAGCUGAUAAAAUAAACCCCCCAUCAAAGUGUUUAAUUCAGUCAUGUCUCACUAAAAGGUGUAGCUACUACUAAUCAAAUUUCAGCCUAGAAGUUCAAGAGCUCAGAUUUUGUCCUUACCAGGGAGGAGGCCUCUGAGAGGUUAUCCAACUCCGUGUGAUCAGCCCUAAAUGGAGCAACACUUAAUUGACUUAGCAGGAGAUGUGUAUUCAUGCAGGCCUGUGUAUGCCCCCACCGUGUGUGUGUGUGUGUGUGUGUGUGUGUGUGUGUGUGUGUGUGUGUGUGUGUGUGUGCAUGAUGCUGGAGGAGCUUCAGAAGGGAGAAUAUGGAUGGGAAUGAUGUAAACACAGGGUUUGUGUAUGAAAUUAUCACAAAAAUAACUAAGUAAAUGUAAAAGGGGGGUUAGGAGAGAUUUUGGAGCAGACUAGUUAUCUAAGACAAGUUAGACCUCACUGGCUGAGAGUGUUCAAUACCCCACCCCUUCAUCCAGCUUUGCUCCCCACAAGGCCUGUGCAGAAGGAUGUAUCAAAUCUGCUUGGAAGGAGGAAGGGUGGCUCUAUUUUUAGAGUUCAUUGCAAGAUUCCCCUUCACCCUCAACCAACAGAACUACUGAAGUGUCAAUGGUCUGAAGGGCACCUUUUCAGAUGAAGGAUCCCAAGCAAGCUCACCACUCAUCUGAGAUCAAGCUGUGCAUGGAUUGAUCUCCAGAACCAUGAGUAUGCCUUCCUCCGAAGUGUGGAAGAGUCAGAAGCUCUCAUCUCCCUCCAACAUAGGACUCUAAGUGGUGUGAAUACACCCAGCAAUGCUUUGCUUGCCCCACGUUCUCCUUGAGACUCAUUUAGUACAAAAACUAACAGUCAAUAUUUCCGUCACCCCACUUUUCCUGCUAACUGUCAUGACUUAAGUACUAAGGGCAAGUCAGGGGUGCUCAAAAGGAAACAAAAAAGAAUUCCAAAAGAGCUCUGGGCACAAAAACAGCUUUAAAAGAUGGGCAUUCAUGGCUCAUCUUUUUUAGUAACUGGGUGACUCACCCUAGUCCACAUAAAGCAAAGAACCUUAAUGUUACAGCCUGCUUUGAAGAAGAGCUGCCUCCGUUGAGUUCAAAGAGAAUAAAAAAGUAGGUCAGUUGCCCAGGGUUUUUAAAGAAGAAAAAGGAAACACACACACACACACACACACACACACACACACACACACACACACACAUUUCCAGUGAAGCCACCAUUGUCUUGGUUCCUAACCAAAUAAAAUAAAUAAACUAGUAGGUUUUGAAUUUAUAUCAAAGUAGCAACACGAAUGCCAAAGAAACACAAGUUAUUUAAGCUGCUUGUGCAGUAACUCCCUCCAUGUCUCCCUCUGGCUUAGUGUGUGGGAACAUUCUGAGCCUAAGGAACAGGGAGAGGGUGGAUCAUUUCCUGGUAUGCUGGUGUCAGCCUUGAUCAUCCCUCAGGGCCAGUCCUGGGACAUGGUUACUCACAGAAACCACAAUCUCUUCUCAUCCCUUAUCCACCCAUUUAUGUGUCAAAUGCUCAUAUUCCAACUUAUGAGGCAUUCUUUUAUUUCAACCACCCAGGACUCAGAGGAAGCACACCCUUGUCGAUGGUGACCAUGUUCUCAUGAAAAGCCCCUGGCCAGGCACUGGCCUCAGAAUGUCUCACUUUGGUCCAUUUGAUAAUUAGGUUGAAAGCAAGAUAUUUUUCCUACAUUGACCAAGUAUUGUUCUUAAAUACAGAACCUGGGGUCUAAGUUUAUCUUCUUCCUGCUCAGAUUCUUUCUGUCUGACUCUAGGUCCAUUCCUGGAGUCACCUAGCUGGUGGUUUCCAUAUCAAGCUACAUGUAUCAAACCUCUGGUAUAUUUUUUCUCAUUACUUAUCUCCAGUAGAAUUUCCCCAUGGGUCACCUCUCACUAGUCUGUGAGUUUCUUGAAUGGAAGUGGUAACAUAUUAUUGUUUUAAAUGAAACUGUCUUGCUUAAGCUAGAGGCCAAAAGAUUAAAUGCAGGGGAUCCCUACAGGGUCAUCUAAAAAGAGGAGAGAGGAAAGUGCUCAUACAUCCCUAAGUUCUCCCACAUCCACCAGAGAGCAAGUUCAUUGAGUCUGUGAAUGCAUAGCUUAGCCAUUCCUCCAUAUUUUUCAACAAUGCCAAAACUACUUGGUCAUGGAAAAUCUUCAGCCUCGCUGACAUGUUUCUGUGACUCCCUGAGCUCUUGCAAUCAAACCAGGUUCCAUCAGAGACCAGCAUGUUCCAGGAAGAAGUCAAUAAAGGAUUUACAAAGGGACAAUCAACCUGGAAUAGAAAGCAUUGGAAACUAGUAUUGACCGGAAGUCAGAAUUCCCAUGGGGCAUGAGAAAGUUUAGGGGAAAGACAAGUGUCAUCUGAACCAGGAAGGUUCAUGGAAAAGUAGCUCCUCACAGGAACCAUGUGUAGAGAAAGGUAGACUGGACUUAGCUCCAUUCCCACAGAAUGCAGUCAAACAGGUAACUCUACCCAGGAGAAGUCAUCCUCUAGGACAGAGACACAGAGCAAGUAUGGCAGGACUGUCCUCCUUCUAAGAUCUAGAGAUGAUGACGUGCCACAUUAGCCUUCUAGAGAAGCAUGCUCCCUUCUACAAUAAACCCCUGUCUGUGCUACCACUUGGAGCUUCCAAACUCAAUUAUUUUGUCCUUAUAUCACCAUUGCUAUGAUGGAUGGAACUGAGACUUAUAGAUAACAAUGGCAGUUCUCAUGGAAAAUGACUUAAAUCAAUGCUAUUUUAUUGAAUAACUACUAUGUGACAUAGAUUUACAUGUAGACAAAUGAAAUAUUUUGUGGUCCAAGAUUUCCAGGCUCAUGAUUUUGUUGCCUGUGUUGAGAAGACAAAUAAUAGUGCAAGUCUUGUGUCUGGGGCCAAAUCAAGUCAUUACAUGUAAUAGAAAAAGCAGUGGACUUGAGGCAAGCCAUCUGCUAUGGUUUUAAUAAGUUUUUCCCAAGACCCAAGUAUCAAAGCUUGGUCACAGUUUAGUUAAAUUGCAAGGAAAAAGAAAAUGCUAAAUGGUGAGACAUGCUGGGAGAUUUUGUAUCAUUGUUCUCCAAGGAGAUUAUGUGAUUCUAUCUCUUCUUGCUUGCUUCCUGACCACCAACAGGUGAGCAGCUUUCUCUGCUGUACAUUCUUACUGUGAUGUGAUCCUUCAUCACAGGCACAAAAGCUACAAGGUCAAAUGACAAUGGAAAGGAACCUCCAGAUCUGUGAACCAAAAUAAACUUAUUAUUUUCUUAAGUUGAUUCUCUUAAGCAUGAUGUUAUAGUAACAGAGAGCUGACUAGUGCAACACUGGGAAUCUCUUCCUGGCUUUGUUGUUCCCAUGAUGCAUAACCUGACAGUGCAUUUCUCCUCAGGACUCCAUCUCCUUUAGGAGAGGAGGUAUAGACCCAAGUGACCUCUAGAACUGGGCCCUCUGCUUCUGUGAGCCCUCAAUGGCAAAAAAUCUGAGUGGUUCUGAGGUGCAUGGAGCAAUAUAGUCUGUUGUGGUCAGAGAGGCCACAGUGAGGGAAUGUGUGUUGAUCUGAGCCCAGAAGAAGUGUAUAUGGUGAAUGUUGCAGCCAAAUGGGGUGGUACCUGCCAAGUUGCAAGGGCCAAAUGGAUCUGGUCCAAGUGAAGAGGCAGCAGCCCACAUCUCCAAGAGAGGAAUAAAACUAGACCACAGGUAACAGGAGCAUCUGUGGGGGCUGGCAGGAAGGAGGUAGUUGUCACAAGCAGAUGCUGUGUACAACUGAAACCCAAAAUGUGUUUUCCCUCGCUUAGCUAAGCUGAAAAAGUGAGAUCCUCAGAAAUCAGAUAAGAGCCAAUUCCAGGUAGUUAACUCAGAAAUCAAGUGCCCUCUAGCUGUGUUUCUAAAACACUUAACAGUUUAAGUUACUCUCUUGUUUAUAAGACUUCCAAGAGUCCCUCUGCCUGUGGGAACAAGUCUAAACCCCUUAGUGUCACACAAUCCCAUCCAAUCUCUCACAGUAAGGCUGGUCAGUGCUGCACUGGGCAAGCUACUGGCUAGCUAUACUCACUGUUGUCCAGAUGAGCCUCUGUCUAUGCCAUGGAUGAUCAUUCACCCACAAACUUAGACAGUACUUAUUGAGCACUAACUAUAUGUUAUUUCUUGUGUCCCAGUUUGAAUAUGAAAUGUCCCUCACAGUCUUAUAUGUUAAUGACUGCAUCUCCAGCUGGUGAUGCUAUUUUGGGAGGUGGGGUUGAUUUCUCAAGUCUCACUUUUUCCAGUUUAGCUGACUGGGCGAAAACAAGUUUGAGGCUUCAGUGAUAGGCAGGUUCUUAAUUUGACAGGAACACACUGGUGCUUGUGACUUCCAGCCUCACUGUGUCCAGCUCCUCUACUUAAACAAAGUAGAUCCCAAAGUAACAAGCCUUUGAAAGUAAUGAUUCAUCCCCAGUCCCCUCCAUUCCCUCUGCUUCCUGAUUGCCAUGAACUGAAGAAUCUCUCAGCUGUGUACUUCUACCACCACAGUGUUCUGUCCAAGUGAAUGAGGCCAAGCAACCUGGAACUGACUGAGCCCUAUGAGUCAUAAGCCAAGUAAGUAAUAUCUCCUUUAAAAAGAAAGAAGAGAGAUGGUGAGAUGAUUCAGUCAGUAAAGCCCUUGAUGUGCAAACAAGGAGAACUUGAGUGUGGAUCCCCAGUACACACACAAACAACCAGACAUUUUGUGGGCAUCCAUAAUCCUCUCUCUGGGAAGGUAGAAGCAAGAAGAUUCCUGCAGCUUGCAAACCAGCUAGUCUUGUCCAGUCCGUAAAUCCAGAUUUAAUGAGACACUUUGUCUCCAAAAAAUAAUGUAGACUAAGCCAAUGAGUACAGGCACUUAUAGCCAAGCCUGAGUAUGAUCCUGAUAUCCACUGAUAUCCACAUGGUAGAAGAAUAGACUCCCAUAGGUUGUCCUUUGACAUCCACAUGAGUAGUGUGCCACAUGCACUUGCACAUAAAUCAGCAAUCAUGAAUGAAUGAAUAGAUAGAUAGAUGGGUAGAUAGAUAGAUAAUGAAUAAUAAAUGUAAAAAUAUUAAAUAAGAGAAGUAGAGGGAGAUAGCUGGCAUUAACCUCUGGCCAUUAUACACAUGCUUAUACAUGCACUUACACUCAUGUAUGCAUGUUGCGUGUGUGCAUACAUACAUACACACACAUGUAUGUGCACACACUCAGGAAUACAUACGCAUGCAUACAAAAGGUGAGGAAGAACAACUAACAGUUGUGUUCUUUUUCAGAUGUCUUGGUCACAGCUUCAGAAAAGUAACCCAUGUGGCCCAACUCCUCUGGUGAUCAGAGAAGUUACUAGCCCUGCAUUCCAGCCUGGAGAAAUAAUCUAAGUCUGCCUUUGUUGGUAUGUGGAACGGCUUUCGCCUCCAGCGGUGAUGUCGCUGGGUCACCUGCAGGCUACAGGGACCUGCACAUCUGUUGCCUUGGCAACGGUCAUAUAUUCCCAGCAUACAUUUGGUUCAGCCCCACCUUUACCUGGGAGCAGUUACAUCACAGUUUAAAUAAAAGCACCAGAAUUUGGCUUUUCUCUGGAGCCCUUCCAUCCUUGGACAGGAAAUUCAAAGAAUCAUGGUCUGCCUUCUUAGCAGACUGCACCUGAAAGUACAGGCUCUUGCCCACUGCCUGAAAAUAUGUCUAAGUGCUCAGUCGUUUUCCAAGGACCUGGAAAGGACUUCACUGAGCCUCUAUGCCUGGACCACCACAACUUCUUAUCCACCAUUAAACUGGAUUCUCACUGAGAGGCAGAUAAAAUGCAACAGUGUCAACUCCUCAUCCGUGAUCCUCUCAGCACUGACCUGGAGUUCACAGAACAGUUACAUUGUUCAGUUUGUUAGAAAUAUGGAAUCCCAAGUCCCACCUCAACCCCAACUUUAACUACUUUAUUUGUGUGAAUUGCAUGUUCACACAUGUGCCAUUUUGCAUAUGUCAGAAGAGAGAGGCCAAUGACAUAGCCCUGCAAUACAACAGACUACAACCUAUACACAGUAGACAAAGCUCAUAGUCCAUGUGGGAAGCAUUUCGAUGCCAUCAUUGAAGAAUAAGACAUAAUGACAAGGUUUUCUCCACUGUCUUCUAUCAUCUGGAACGAACUGGUCAACUUCACAAAGCCCAUGCAGAGCCAAAACGGUGAGUCACAGAAGCAGCAUUCAGUAUGAUGUGGCCCACAUGGAGCUCAAAACAACAAACCACAAGGACACAGGGCUUAGAGAUACGGCAAGAGGUAGCAAAUCAAGGAAAGAAAGCAAGAUAAUAAUUUCAGAAAUGCUAGGACAACUGUUCUUUGGAGGAAGCCGAAGGAAAGUAACCAGCAAAGAGAGCAAAGGAGCUUCUAAGGUCCAGAUACUGAUUUGCCUUUCUAAUCUGAAUAGGGGAUCCCUGGUCAAGCUCCUCUUCCUUGUCCUUGUUAUCUGUCAUUGUUUUUAAAUUGUGUAUAAUUGUGUGUUUUCUCUGUACACUUUGCCAUUGUCUUACUAUUAUAUUAUUAUUAUAUAUUGACAUUGAUAUAUGUGUAUGAUGUGUAAACCUCCAUACAUAGUGAGCCAGCAGAGAGGAGACCUCAGCCUCUCCUGAGCGCAACUUCUGCCUCAGGCUUCUUGGAACAUUCUCCUCCUAACCCUACCUUGUUUCUCCUCACAGAUCUUUCUCCAUUAGCCAUUCCCCACAUUUUACAGAGUUCCCAGGAACCUUCUUAUCCUAUUUGCUCCAUGUACUUUUGUUUCCUUCUAUUUAUUAAAUUUUUUCAGAGUCUAAUUUCAUGAUCUUUCUCCCAUCUCAAAAACAUUAUCAAAAUAAUAUCAUUAAGAAAAAUACCAAAUAAGUGAAUGAAUAAAUAAAACAAAAAGCCUGCCAAAAAGAAAUAUGAAAGUAGCUCCCCAUCUACAGCUGACAUGGGGCCUAUGCUGGAGUGUAUGGUCGAUACACUCAUUGAUAUUUUCGCUUUCUCAGCAGGUAUCAUUUGCACCAUGGCUUCCUAGUUAGGGAUGGGAUCCUGUGUCCACUUCUGCUCCCACUGCUGGGCCUCAGGACUUCUCUUGAAUCCAUAAGGCUGUGUUAAUCCUGUAUGAAAUGUUUACCAAGCUGAAAAUCAAUUCCUUACCAGCAUGUCUCAGGGUUCCUCUCUCUAUCCACCUAGGAGGAUGCUGGCAUGCCAAUGUGUUUUGUGACUUAUUCUGGGCCACAGCUUGAAGUAAGCAGAAGGAUUUGAACUCCAAAGUGGCUGACCCUAAAACUCAUCCCACUAUCUACCUUUCCUAAGUAACAGAAAAAGAUCUACCCUGUCCCACAUACUACGACCAUUUGCCACCGCCUGACAAGCCUUCUCUCUCCAUUGAGCCCCAACCAGAAAGGUGCUUCUAGCUUUCUUUGAGGAAGCACCAGGAGAGUCAAUGGUGAUCCCCAACAUGGAUACAUCUCAGA